GUUAUCAACAGGCAAAAUGACCAAAUUUUCUGAACAGGAAUGGAACUGAAAAUCUGUACGUUCAAAAUCUGAAGUAUCUUAUGCACAGAAAGAAAGCAUGAUAUGUCAUAGGUGAGAGAACCUGCCUCUGCUGCUUAGUCCACCACCGGAUACAGCUUGGUUUCCAUGUGUUUAUUCAUCUCAAAAACCUCAUAUCUUGAAAAUCCGCUGCAAGAU
RNAcentral lists this long non-coding RNA (216 nucleotides) under Nicotiana benthamiana. RNAcentral's name for it is "long non-coding RNA (NBEN_LNC000513)". Lineage: Eukaryota; Viridiplantae; Streptophyta; Magnoliopsida; Solanales; Solanaceae. The record is from RNAcentral.